Molecule: transfer RNA, 73 nt
Filed under: Silvibacterium bohemicum
Lineage: Bacteria; Pseudomonadati; Acidobacteriota; Terriglobia; Terriglobales; Acidobacteriaceae
Description: tRNA-Phe
Source: RNAcentral
GACCAGUUAGUUCCAUCGGUAGGCAGCCCUGAAAAGGCCGGCGUCGGCGGUUCGAUCCCGUCUCUGGCCACCA